RNAcentral lists this long non-coding RNA (1178 nucleotides) under Homo sapiens (human). Its description in RNAcentral is "non-protein coding lnc-GTF2H2-7:1". The record is from RNAcentral. Lineage: Eukaryota; Metazoa; Chordata; Mammalia; Primates; Hominidae.
AAAGCCAGCUGGGCUCCUGAGUCCGGUGGGUACUUGGAGAACUUACUACGUCUAGCUGGAGGAUUGUAAAUGCACCAAUCAGCAUGCUGUGUCUAGCUCAAGAACUCAAGCUCCAUGAGGAGAUGUUUCAUUGUCGAGAGCAGUCAUGAUGCCCUGCACUCCACACAAUGCAACAGAGUGAAAGAGCAGGUUCUGCUUCUUUGGUGUAGUCCUGAAGCUUCCUAAGAAACUUCACAUCAGGUGAUGGAUAGGAGCAACCCUGUAAAACCAGCCUUAGACUAUUUUUCAAACAGGCUGGUGAAUUACCAGAUCUCCGUCAAGUGCAGUAACCAGUUCAAGUUGGAAGUGUGUCUUUUGAAUGCAGAAAACAAAGUCGUGGACAACCAGGCUGGGACCCAGGGCCAGCUGAAGGUGCUGGGUGCCAACCUCUGGUGGCCGUACCUGAUGCACGAACACCCCGCCUACCUGUACUCGUGGGAGGAUGGUGAUUGCUCACACCAAAGCCUUGGACCCCUCCCAGCCUGUGACCUUUGGGACCAACUCCACCUACGCAGCAGACAAGGGGGCUCUGUAUGUGGAUGUGAUCCGUGUGAACAGCUACUACUCUUGGUAUCGCAACUACGGGCACCUGGAGUUGAUUCGGCUGCAGCUGGCCGCCCAGUUUGAGAAUUGGUGUAAGACAUCACAAUCCCAUUAUUCAGAGCGCGUAUGGAGUGGAAACGCUUGUAGGGCUUCACCAGGAUCCACCUCUGAUGUUCAGUGAAGAGGACCAGAAAAGUCUGCUAGAGCAGUACCAUCUGGGUCUGGAUCAAAAACGCAGAAAAUACGUGGUUGGAGAGCUCAUCUGGAAUUUUGCCGAUUUCAUGACUAACCAGUGUGUCAGUUUCUUGGUCGGGAAUGAAAAUAGUGCCAACCUGUGAUACCUUCACUCUAAUUUUACUUUCUGAGGAAGUUUUCUGUAAUAGUUAUUUGGUGAUAAUUAUUAAUACUGAUGUGAAUUUCUUCGGAGUAAGAAAUCCUCAGAGGAAAUUACCCAGUAUAUUCAAAGCUACAAGGGAUUUGUUGACAUAACGGGAGAACAUUUUGUGAAUUCCUGGGUCCAGAGAGAAUUACCUAUGGCAUCAGCUUAUUGCAAUGACAGCAUCUUUGCUUACGAAGAACUACGGCUGGACUCUUUU